Molecule: ribosomal RNA, 497 nt
Filed under: uncultured bacterium
Lineage: Bacteria
Description: partial 16S ribosomal RNA
Rfam family: Bacterial small subunit ribosomal RNA
Source: RNAcentral
GAUGAACGCUGGCGGCGUGCCUAAUACAUGCAAGUCGAGCGAACAGAUGAGGAGCUUGCUCCUCUGACGUUAGCGGCGGACGGGUGAGUAACACGUGGAUAACCUACCUAUAAGACUGGGAUAACUUCGGGAAACCGGAGCUAAUACCGGAUAAUAUAUUGAACCGCAUGGUUCAAUAGUGAAAGACGGUUUUGCUGUCACUUAUAGAUGGAUCCGCGCCGCAUUAGCUAGUUGGUAAGGUAACGGCUUACCAAGGCAACGAUGCGUAGCCGACCUGAGAGGGUGAUCGGCCACACUGGAACUGAGACGCGGUCCAGACUCCUACGGGAGGCAGCAGUAGGGAAUCGUCCGCAAUGGGCGAAAGCCUGACGGAGCAACGCCGCGUGAGUGAUGAAGGUCUUCGGAUCGUAAAACGCUGUUAUUAGGGAAGAACAAAUGUGUAAGUAACUAUGCACGUCUUGACGGUACCUAAUCAGAAAGCCACGGCUAACUACGUG